CAGCCGCCGCGGUAAAACGGAGGGGGCUAGCGUUGUUCGGAAUUACUGGGCGUAAAGCGCACGUAGGCGGCUUGGUAAGUUAGAGGUGAAAGCCUGGAGCUCAACUCCAGAAUUGCCUUUAAGACUGCCGAGCUAGCAGGUGAGAGAGGUAAGUGGAAUUCCGAGUGUAGAGGUGAAAUUCGUAGAUAUUCGGAAGAACACCAGUGGCGAAGGCGGCUUACUGGCUCAUACUGGACGCUGAGGUGCGAAAGCGUGGGGAGCAAACAGGAUUAGAUACCCCUGUAGUCCCUGUCUCUUAUAU
RNAcentral lists this ribosomal RNA (301 nucleotides) under uncultured bacterium. Its description in RNAcentral is "partial 16S ribosomal RNA". It matches the Rfam family "Bacterial small subunit ribosomal RNA", at positions 509 to 809 of the family's 1533-position model. The record is from RNAcentral.